This is a long non-coding RNA of Cercocebus atys (sooty mangabey), 2259 nucleotides long. RefSeq lists it as uncharacterized. Lineage: Eukaryota; Metazoa; Chordata; Mammalia; Primates; Cercopithecidae. The record is from RefSeq and is a predicted model, not a curated record. The transcript has 6 exons.
CUCAAGGUUGGGCUGGCUGCUGCGCCUGUCAGGGCCAGAAUUGUCAGCUCUUUUCUGGAGUGACUUACUACAUACAGAGAGGAGGAAAAUGAACUAAGGUGCACUGGGCAAGUCACCGUCAGGAUUUCCCUCCAAUCUCACGAUAGUCCUACGAGGCAGAUUUUCAUCACCAUUUCUCAAAUGGGGAAACUGAGGCCCCACAGGUAAGAGGAUUGGCCUGUGUCACACUGAUAUUAAUGGCUAAAGGAAAGUGCUACCUCCAACGGAAUUAUUCCCGUCAGUGGUUCCCAACCGGGAUGUGGUGGAGAGGUGCUUCUAAUUCCUCCUGCCGGCACAGUAAUUAUGAAAGUAGAUCCAUCUUCCUGUCUCUCAACUUCUCGACCUAGUUCCCUUCCAAGUUCUUAUCAUAUGAAGUCAGCACAACAAUAUUAGUAAUAUGAACAAUGCAUAUUCACAUGCAAAAUCGGUGAAGUCCAGCGGUACCAUGGAGCAUGUGCAGGAGCAGAGGAGAUAGCUACAAUAAAAGUGUUUACUGCCAUUUCUUGCUGUCCAUUUGCGUAUAGUGUUCAUAAAAUUCCAUGAGCACAGGAUUCUGAUGAAUCUACAAUGCAUGGGAGCUCAGAGGGGACUCAAAUCAAGUACAAUAAAGCAUUUCCAUUUUGCCUGGCUCUGGGAACAAAGCCAAUGUCUGCUUUAGAGGAACAGAGAUUUCCACAUGGUGAAUGGAAAAAAGGACACAGAUCCAGGAUUCAGAAAGGAAAUGAGGACAGAGACUGACACUCUCUAAAUACACAAAGGCAGAAGACAUUUUCUCAGGUGGGUUACAUACCUGCCUUAUUCAUAUGAUCUUCACAAGUCAGAAAACUUCGGUUUCAGUCCUGGUUCUUACACUAAAGUGUUGAAUGACUGUGAAUAAGUCCCAUAAGUUCUGCUGUCCUUACUGAGGAGUGCAGAGUGUAUAUAAAAUGGGAACAAUGGUAUUUUUCCAGCUACCUUAGGGCAUUGUUUCAAGAAUCAAAUGGGAUAAUACUCAAAGAAGUACUUGGUGAGCUGUGAAAUGCUGAACAUAUGUUAGGAAUUAUUAUUUAGCCAAUAAACCUCUCUCUAAGACACUAGUCUCUGAGAUUCCUCCAUUUGAGAGAUAGCUGUCUUCUCUAUUUACCUCAAACAUGUAUUCUGACUCUAACCCAAAGUCACUUAGAAAUUGGCCUCAAAGAUCUAACCAUAGCCUUGGCACCAGACAGGAAAUCAGAUCUCACUUCCUGCCCCUACUUUUAUUUGCAAUGUAGCUUCCAAAGCAAGAAACAAAAUCUCAAGUUCCAUUAAUAAUGAAACAAGGAGGCUCAAAAGCCUCACAUCCUAACAUUGGGCUCAAUGGAGAAGGAAGGAGCAUCAGUGAUGAUGAGGAAAGGUACAAGUGCAGGGUGAAGGUGGGAGUUGACCUUAAGAGAGAGCUUAUUGUACUGACUGGGAUAGGAAGGUCUUAAAGAAUGGUGUCUUCUGGGAGGCAUCAUUUUCCACAGAUGGUCAGGAAUGUCAAAUCAGUCCUAGACAAAACUAGAGCCUCUAGAGAAGGAAAUUAUGAGAGACUGUGGGAAACUGGCAAGAAGAAAUUUUGAAAGGAAGGGAGAACACUGAAUCAUUUGAUGACCUGCCAUGUGCCAGAGGCUGUCUUAUACAUAUAUCAUACAUCUGCGAUGUCAUGUCCUCCAGCCUGCCUCCCGCCUCCUUUGCUGCUGCUGUGCUAAGCCAUUGGAGAGCAGACAGCUCUGGGUGGUCAUGUUCUAGUAGCAGAAACCCUUCAGGAAUUCAGACAGUAUCCACCCAUUGACUGUUGGAAGAAAAAAAAUCUGGGUCAAGAUGAGAAUUGACAGAGAAAAGGGAGGAAAGAAGAGAAAUGGAGCUCAGGGUGGUGGUGAUGGUAGAAGUGCAUCUAUUAGGACAAUUUCCCAAGUAGCAACUCUGGAUUCCCCCACUUGCUUACACAGUGUCUCCUUCCUAUCCUUCCCUCCCCAGCCCUUGUCUCUACUGAACAUCUGUCAACACUGGCCUCAACCACUAGAUUCUAUCAUUGUGGUUAAAAGCUGAGAUAAGCUUGGACUCAAGUCCUGCUUCCUCCUCUUGCUUGCUAGCUGUGUGGCCCUGCUAUGGCAGUUAACACUAAGCCUCAGUUCCUCUUCUAUUAAACAGCGUUAAUAAUGCUUAUUAAGUGUUUCCAAAAAAUUGAAAUACAUUUUGUAUAUAAAGUGUUGAACCCAA